UAAUUAACUUCAGUGCCUUGGUUAAC
This 26-nucleotide non-coding RNA is filed under the name Rattus norvegicus (Norway rat). The record is from RNAcentral. Lineage: Eukaryota; Metazoa; Chordata; Mammalia; Rodentia; Muridae.